Molecule: long non-coding RNA, 856 nt
Organism: Mus musculus (house mouse)
Lineage: Eukaryota; Metazoa; Chordata; Mammalia; Rodentia; Muridae
Product: predicted gene, 41016
Exons: 2
Source: RefSeq, a predicted model, not a curated record
CCUCCCAAGCGAUGGGAUUAAAGGCGUGUGCCACCAAAUGACUUUCUAAAGAACCCUUAAGUUUCCACUUCAGUCUGCAGGGCAGUUAGACUGUGACUCAUCCUACCUCCGGUGUCCCUGGACUGAGACCUUAGGAGCCAAGAAGCAGCCUGUCUACUUAUGCUAGAAACAGAUGGAGUAGAAUGAGCUGCUGUCUUCACUCUGCUGCGGGAGGAGCAGCCCUGAUGACAAUGGUGUUAGCGCUUUCCCUCCUUUCUACUUCUGUUGUUCUCUUAGAACUCUGUGUGGAUAAGAACUUAACAGGGAGGCAGUUAAUGAGUGACUAAGGUAGGAAACACAUUCUUAGUGUGUGUGUGUGUGUGUGUGUGUGCGCGCGUGCAUGUGCGUGUGUCCGUGCACUUACAUGUGUGGGGGAAUGCAUGUGCCAUGAUAAUGCAUGUAGAAACAGAAGGACAACUAUGUGGGGUUCCCUUCUACUUGCUUUAUGUAGGACCCUACAUUUGAACUCUGGUCAGCAGGCUUGCACAGUGAAGGUAAAUGCCUUUACUGGCUUAGCCAUUGUCAGCUUCUUCAAGAUCAUGCACAGAUGGCCUUGGAGCACCAAGACAUGACAGUUUAUUACUGGAGUGGCAGGAAGCAAAUUUAAGGAAGUUAUGGUGGCAUCUUCUCCUAUACCAAUCAUUCUCUUAAUCACAUUGUAAAAGGAGUACUUGGGAAACGGAGCGAAGACUAAUAUGAAGAUGAUGAACUGAAAUCUAUGGUAGCACUUAAAGGAGAAAAGCACUGCUUGGUAAAUAAUAUGUGUGGGGCAAAGCACCACACAGAAAACAUUUCAUAUGGUUUUUUAUUUAUUUUA